This 1507-nucleotide ribosomal RNA is filed under the name uncultured organism. RNAcentral describes it as "bacterial SSU rRNA". It matches the Rfam family "Bacterial small subunit ribosomal RNA". The record is from RNAcentral.
GAGUUUGAUCCUGGCUCAGAAUGAACGCUGGCGGCAUGGAUUAGGCAUGCAAGUUGAACGCUAACUUCGGUUAGAGUGGCGCAAGGGUGAGUAACGCGUGAAUGAUCUGCCUCUAAGUUUGGAAUAACUAUUGGAAACGAUAGCUAAUACCGAAUGUGAAUAUUUAGUCGCCUGACUUUAUAUUUAAAGAUUUAUCGCUUAGAGAUGAGUUCGCGUCCCAUUAUGCUAGUUGGUAAGGUAACGGCUUACCAAGGCUUUGACGGGUAGGUGGUCUGAGAGGAUGGUCACCCACACUGGGACUGAGACACUGCCCAGACUCCUGCGGGAGGCUGCAGUCGAGAAUCUUCCGCAAUGCGCGAAAGCGUGACGGAGCAAUGCCGCGUGAAGGAUGAAGGCUUUCGGGUCGUAAACUUCUGUCAGGGGGGAAAAACUAUGAUGGUACCCCCAGAGGAAGCCACGGCUAACUACGUGCCAGCAGCCGCGGUAAUACGUAGGUGGCGAGCGUUAUUCGGAUUUACUGGGCGUAAAGGGUCCGUAGGGGGACAAGUAAGUCAGAUGUGAAAUUUCAGGGCUUAACCCUGAACCUGCAUUUGAAACUGCUUGUCUAGAAUUCGGUAGAGGUAAGUGGAAUUUGUGGUGUAGCGGUGGAAUGCGUAGAUAUCACAAGGAACACCAAAGGCGAAAGCAGCUUACUGGGCCGAUAUUGACCCUGAGGGACGAAAGCUAAGGUAGCGAAAAGGAUUAGAUACCCUUGUAGUCUUAGCCGUAAACGUUGUACACUCGAUGUCGGGGGAAUUAGCCCCUUCGGUGUCUAAGCUAACGCAAUAAGUGUACCGCCUGGGRAGUACGGUCGCAAGACUAAAACUCAAAGGAAUUGACGGGGGCUCACACAAGCGGUGGAGGAUGUGGCUUAAUUCGAGGAUACGCGAAGAACCUUAUCCUGGUCUUGACAUGUGCGGAUGGGCUGCCUGAAAGGGAUAGUCCCUGCCUUCGGGUGAAACGUACACAGGUGCUGCAUGGCCGUCGUCAGCUCGUGUCGUGAGAUGUCGGGUUAAGUCCCUUAACGAGCGAAGCCCUUGUCCUUAGUUGCCAGCACAUAAUGGUGGGGACUCUAGGGAGACUGCCGGUGUUAAACCGGAGGAAGGUGGGGAUGACGUCAGGUCCUCAUGGCCUUUAUGACCAGGGCUGCACACGUCCUACAAUGCGGUGUACAGAGGGAAGCAAACUCGCGAGAGCAAGCAAAUCCCAAAAAGCACCGCCCAGUUCGGAUUGCAGGCUGCAACUCGCCUGCAUGAAGCCAGAAUCGCUAGUAAUCGUGGGUCAGCAUACCACGGUGAAUAUGUUCCUGAGCCUUGUACACACCGCCCGUCAAGCCACGAAAGUGGGGGGCAUCCGAAGUCGCCAAGCUAACCGUAAGGAGGCAGGCGCCGAAGAUGAACUCUGCGAUUGGGACUAAGUCGUAACAAGGUAGCCGUAGGGGAACCUGCGGCUGGAUCACCUCCUUUCU